CACGUAGGGGGCAAGCGUUGUCCGGAUUUAUUGGGCGUAAAGAGCUCGUAGGUGGUUCGGUAAGUCGGGUGUUAAACCCCCAGGCUCAACCUGGGGACGCCACUCGAUACUGCUGUGACUAGAGUCCGGUAGGGGAGCGUGGAAUUCCUGGUGUAGCGGUGAAAUGCGCAGAUAUCAGGAGGAACACCAGUGGCGAAGGCGGCUACCUGGACCGGUUCUGACGCUGAGGCGCGAAAGCGUGGGUAGCAAACAGG
Molecule: ribosomal RNA, 254 nt
Filed under: uncultured bacterium
Lineage: Bacteria
Description: partial 16S ribosomal RNA
Rfam family: Bacterial small subunit ribosomal RNA
Source: RNAcentral